RNA transcript from Mandrillus leucophaeus (drill), 1625 nucleotides. It is a transcript of the gene named T-complex protein 1 subunit epsilon pseudogene, with no coding region annotated. The record is from RefSeq and is a predicted model, not a curated record. Lineage: Eukaryota; Metazoa; Chordata; Mammalia; Primates; Cercopithecidae. The transcript has a single exon.
AUGGCAUCCAUGGAGACCCUCGCCUUCGAUUGAUAUGGGCCCCCUUUCCUCAUCAGCAAGGAUCAGGACCACAAGACCCGCCUUAUGGGACUUGAGGCCCUCGAGUCUCAUAUAGUGGCAGCAAAGGCUGUAGCAAAUACGAUGAGAACAUCACUUGGACCAAAUGGGCUUGAUAAGAUGAUGGUGGAUAAGGAUGGCAAUGUGACUGUAAGUAAUGAUGGGGUCACCAUCUUAAGCAUGAUAGAUGUCGAUCAUCAGAUUGCCAAGCUAAUGGUGGAAAUGUCCAAGUCUCAGGAUGAUGAAAUUGGAGAUGGAACCACAGGAGUGGUUGUCCUGGCUGGUGCCUUGUUAGAAUAAGCCCAGGAGUUGCUAGACCAAGGUAUUCACCCAAUCAGAAUAGCUGGUGGCUAUAAGCAGGCUGUCUGUGUUGCUAUUGAACACCUGGACAAGAUCAGCGAUAGCAUCCUUGUUGAUGUAAAGGACACCAAACCCCCGAUUCAGACUGCAGAAACCAUGCUGGGCUCCAAAGUGAUCAACAGUUGUUACCGACAAAUGGCUGAGAUUGCUGUGAAUGCCGUCCUUACUGUAACAGAUAUGGAGCAGAGAGGUGUUGACUUUGAGCUUAUCAAAGUGGAAAGCAAAGUGGGUGGCAGGCUGGAGGACACUAAAUGGAUUAAGGACAUGAUUGUGGACAAGGAUCUCAGUCACCCACAGAUGCCAAAAAAGUGGAAGAUGCUAAGAUUGUAAUUCUCACAUGUCCAUUUGAAUACCCAAACCAAAAACAAAGCAUAAGCUGGAUGUGACCUCUGUAGAAGAUCAUAAAGCCCUUCAGAAAUAUGAAAAGGAGACAUUUUAAGAGAUGAUUCAACAAAUUAAAGAGACUGGUGCUAAAAUAGAAAUUUGUCAGUGGGACUCUGAUGAUGAAGCAAAUCACUUACUUCUUCAGAACAACUUGCCUGUGGUUCGCUGGGUAGGAGGACCUGAAAUUGAACUGAUUGCCAUCACAACAGGAGGGCAGAUCACCCCCAAGUUCUCAGAGCUCUCGGCCAGGAAGCUGGGCUUUGCUGGUCUUGUACAGGAGAUCUCAUUUGGGACAACUAAGGAUAAAAUGCUGGUUAUUGAGCAGUGUAAGAACUCCAGAGCUGUAAUCAUUUUUAUGAGAAGAGGAAAUAAGAUGAGUAUUGAGGAGGUGAAACGACCCCUUCAUGAUGCUUUGUGUGUCAUCUGGAAGCUCAUCCAUGAUAAUCAUGUGGUGUGUGGAGGAGGGGCUGCUGAGAUAUCCUGUGCCCUGCCAGUUAGCCAAGAGGUGGAUAAGUGCCCCACCUUAGAACUCUAUGCCUUGAGAGCAUUUGCCAACGCUUUGGAGGUCAUUCCCAAGGCCCUUUCUGAAAACAGUGACAUGAAUCCCAUCCAGACUAUGACCGAAGCCCGAGCCAGACAAGUAAAUGAGAGGAACCUUGCUCUUGGCGUCGACUGUUUGCACAAGGGGACAAAUGAUAUGAAGCAAUAGCAUGUCAUAGAAACCUUCAUUGGCAAAAAAGCAACAGAUAUCUCUUGCAACACAAAUGAUUAGAAUGAUUUUGACGAUUGACAACAUUCGUAAGCCUGGAGAAUCUGAAGAAUGA